AGUUGCUUCAGGAAGGGCAUCCGGCAUAAAACUUGUGCCAAAUACCAAUGCUGAUCUGGCUGUAUCCGCUGUGGUGCCCCUGAACAUUAUCGGGAACAGCUGAACUGACAACAACAUUAAUAAUAAAUUGAUAAUUGAU
Long non-coding RNA from Thalassophryne amazonica, 139 nucleotides. RefSeq lists it as uncharacterized. The transcript is spliced from 3 exons. Lineage: Eukaryota; Metazoa; Chordata; Actinopteri; Batrachoidiformes; Batrachoididae. The record is from RefSeq and is a predicted model, not a curated record.